RNAcentral lists this ribosomal RNA (584 nucleotides) under Escherichia coli. RNAcentral describes it as "partial 23S ribosomal RNA". It matches the Rfam family "Bacterial large subunit ribosomal RNA", at positions 323 to 912 of the family's 2925-position model. The record is from RNAcentral. Lineage: Bacteria; Pseudomonadati; Pseudomonadota; Gammaproteobacteria; Enterobacterales; Enterobacteriaceae.
UGUGUGUUAGUGGAAGCGUCUGGAAAGGCGCGCGAUACAGGGUGACAGCCCCGUACACAAAAAUGCACAUGCUGUGAGCUCGAUGAGUAGGGCGGGACACGUGGUAUCCUGUCUGAAUAUGGGGGGACCAUCCUCCAAGGCUAAAUACUCCUGACUGACCGAUAGUGAACCAGUACCGUGAGGGAAAGGCGAAAAGAACCCCGGCGAGGGGAGUGAAAAAGAACCUGAAACCGUGUACGUACAAGCAGUGGGAGCACGCUUAGGCGUGUGACUGCGUACCUUUUGUAUAAUGGGUCAGCGACUUAUAUUCUGUAGCAAGGUUAACCGAAUAGGGGAGCCGAAGGGAAACCGAGUCUUAACUGGGCGUUAAGUUGCAGGGUAUAGACCCGAAACCCGGUGAUCUAGCCAUGGGCAGGUUGAAGGUUGGGUAACACUAACUGGAGGACCGAACCGACUAAUGUUGAAAAAUUAGCGGAUGACUUGUGGCUGGGGGUGAAAGGCCAAUCAAACCGGGAGAUAGCUGGUUCUCCCCGAAAGCUAUUUAGGUAGCGCCUCGUGAAUUCAUCUCCGGGGGUAGAGCACUG